Molecule: ribosomal RNA, 245 nt
Filed under: uncultured bacterium
Lineage: Bacteria
Description: partial small subunit ribosomal RNA
Rfam family: Bacterial small subunit ribosomal RNA
Source: RNAcentral
AGAAUCAACGCUGGCGGCGUGCCUAACACAUGCAAGUCGAACGAGAAAGUGGAGCAAUCCAUGAGUAAAGUGGCGCACGGGUGAGUAACACGUGACUAACCUACCCUUGAGUGGGGGAUAACCUAGAGAAAUCUGGGCUAAUACCGCAUAAUACCUUCGAGUCAAAGGAGCAAUUCGCUUAAGGAGGGGGUCGCGGCCGAUUAGUUAGUUGGCGGGGUAAUGGCCCACCAAGACUGUGAUCGGUA